Molecule: ribosomal RNA, 484 nt
Filed under: uncultured bacterium
Lineage: Bacteria
Description: partial 16S ribosomal RNA
Rfam family: Bacterial small subunit ribosomal RNA
Source: RNAcentral
AUUGAACGCUUUCUUCCUUCCUAACACAUGCAAGUCGAGCGGAUGAAGGGAGCUUGCUCCUGGAUUCAGCGGCGGACGGGUGAGUAAUGCCUAGGAAUCUGCCUGGUAGUGGGGGAUAACGUCCGGAAACGGGCGCUAAUACCGCAUACGUCCUGAGGGAGAAAGUGGGGGAUCUUCGGACCUCACGCUAUCAGAUGAGCCUAGGUCGGAUUAGCUAGUUGGUGGGGUAAAGGCCUACCAAGGCGACGAUCCGUAACUGGUCUGAGAGGAUGAUCAGUCACACUGGAACUGAGACACGGUCCAGACUCCCACGGGAGGCAGCAGUGGGGAAUAUUGGGCAAUGGGCGAAAGCCUGAUCCAGCCAUGCCGCGUGUGUGAAGAAGGUCUUCGGAUUGUAAAGCACUUUAAGUUGGGAGGAAGGGCAGUAAGUUAAUACCUUGCUGUUUUGACGUUACCAACAGAAUAAGCACAGGCUAACUUCGUG